AGUUCACCAUGUCAUUGGCAGCUGUGGAUACAGUUAAUGCCACGCCCCUGUCGGGGUCCAAAGAACUGAGUUUAGAGGAACCAAAGAAGAUGACCCGAGAGGACUGGAGGAAGAAGAAGGAGCUAGAAGAACAGCGGAAGCUGGGUAAUGCUCCUGCAGAAGCGGAUGAAGAAGGAAAAGAUAUCAAUCCACACAUCCCUCAGUAUAUUUCUUCAGUACCAUGGUACAUCGAUCCAUGGAAAAGACCCACCUUAAAGCACCAGAGGCCACAAUCUGAGAAACAGAAGCCGUUCAGUUCAUCUGGAGAAUGGUACAAGAGGGGCGUAAAAGAGAAUUCCAUAACCACUAAGUACCGCAAAGGUGCCUGCGAGAAUUGCGGGGCCAUGACGCACAAGAAGGAGGACUGCUUUGAGAGACCCAGACGAGUUGGGGCCAAGUUUACUGGGACUAACAUAGCGCCAGAUGAGCACGUCCAGCCUCAGCUCACAUUUGACUACGACGGGAAGAGAGAUCGCUGGAAUGGCUACAAUCCAGAACAACACAUGAAAAUCGUGGAAGAGUAUGCCAAAGUUGACCUGUCAAAACGAACGCUGAAAGCCCAGAAAUUACAAGAAGAAUUAGCCUCAGGAAAAUUAGUGGAACAGGCUAAUUCUCCAAAACAUCAGUGGGGAGAAGAGGAACCAAAUUCUCAGAUGAAAAAAGAUCACAACAGUGAAGAUGAGGAUGAAGAUAAAUAUGCAGAUGAUAUUGACCUGCCUGGACAGAAUUUUGACUCUAAGAGGCGAAUUACAGUCCGGAACCUAAGGAUUCGAGAAGAUAUUGCAAAAUAUUUGAGAAAUUUAGAUCCAAAUUCUGCCUACUAUGAUCCCAAAACUAGAGCGAUGAGAGAAAAUCCCUACGCCAAUGCAGGGAAGAAUCCAGAUGAAGUGAGUUAUGCAGGCGAUAACUUCGUCAGAUACACAGGAGAUACCAUUUCCAUGGCUCAGACACAGUUGUUUGCCUGGGAGGCGUUUGACAAGGGCUCGGAGGUGCACUUGCAGGCAGAUCCCACGAAGCUGGAGCUGUUGUAUAAAUCCUUCAAAGUCAAGAAGGAAGACUUCAAAGUGCAGCAGAAAGAAAGCAUCCUGGAAAAGUAUGGUGGCCAAGAGCAUCUGGAUGCUCCUCCAGCUGAGUUGCUCUUAGCCCAGACAGAAGACUACGUGGAGUACUCACAGCAUGGGGCCGUCAUCAAGGGGCAGGAGAGGGCCGUGGCCUGCUCCAAGUAUGAAGAUGACGUGAAGAUCCACAACCACACACACAUCUGGGGAUCUUACUGGAAAGAAGGCCGAUGGGGAUACAAAUGUUGUCACUCGUUCUUCAAGUAUUCCUACUGCACUGGAGAAGCUGUUAAGGAGACUGCUAACGCCAAGGAGUGUGUGAUAAGUGAUGAGACUGGCGAAGAGUCGGUGAAGAAACCACAGACGCUCGUGGAGAUGCACCAAGAAAAACUAAAGGAAGAGAAGAAAAAGAAGCAGCACCGGAAGAGUAGCUCUGACAGCGAUGACGAAGAGAAGAAACAGGAGAAACUGAAGAAGGCACUGAAUGCCGAGGAGGCCCGCCUGCUCCAUGUCAAAGAGAUCUUACAAAUUGACAAGAGAAAGCGGCCAUACAACAGUGUAUAUGAAACUCGAGAGCCCACGGAGGAGGAAAUGGAGACCUACAGAAUGAAACGUCAGAGGCCAGAUGACCCCAUGGCCUGUUUCCUGGGCCAGCAGUAA
This is an RNA transcript of Dipodomys ordii (Ord's kangaroo rat), 1757 nucleotides long. It is a transcript of the gene named pre-mRNA-splicing factor SLU7 pseudogene, with no coding region annotated. The record is from RefSeq and is a predicted model, not a curated record. The transcript has a single exon. NCBI's taxonomy places the organism in Eukaryota, Metazoa, Chordata, Mammalia, Rodentia, Heteromyidae.